This 480-nucleotide ribosomal RNA is filed under the name uncultured bacterium. RNAcentral's name for it is "bacterial SSU rRNA". It matches the Rfam family "Bacterial small subunit ribosomal RNA", at positions 17 to 518 of the family's 1533-position model. The record is from RNAcentral.
UCCUGGCUUAGAACGAACGCUGGCGGCAUGGAUUAGGCAUGCAAGUCGAACGGGAGCAGCAAUGCUCCAGUGGCGCAAGGGUGAGGAACACGUGAACAACCUGCCUUCGAGUUGGGGAUAGCUUCUGGAAACGGGAGAUAAUACCGAAUAACAUCAACGGGUCGCAUGACCUGUUGAUCAAAGCAGCAAUGCGCUUGAAGAGGGGUUCGCGUCCCAUUAGCUAGUUGGUGAGGUAACGGCCCACCAAGGCGAUGAUGGGUAGCUGGUCUGAGAGGACGAUCAGCCACAUUGGGACUGAGAUACUGCCCAGACUCCUACGGGAGGCUGCAGUCGAGAAUUUUGGGCAAUGGACGAAAGUCUGACUCAAGCAAUGCCGCGUGCGGGAUGAAGGUCUUCGGAUUGUAAACCUUAGUCAACAGGGACGAAGCAAGUGACGGUACCUGUGGAGGAAGCCACGGCUAACUACGUGCCAGCAGCCGC